This 90-nucleotide non-coding RNA is filed under the name Ureibacillus endophyticus. Its description in RNAcentral is "Purine riboswitch". The stretch from base 16 to 88 matches the Rfam family "Purine riboswitch aptamer", at positions 18 to 88 of the family's 102-position model. From Rfam's summary of the family: Riboswitches are metabolite binding domains within certain messenger RNAs that serve as precision sensors for their corresponding targets. Allosteric rearrangement of mRNA structure is mediated by ligand binding, and this results in modulation of gene expression. Lineage: Bacteria; Bacillati; Bacillota; Bacilli; Caryophanales; Caryophanaceae. The record is from RNAcentral.
AAAAAGUAUAGGCUGCCUUCAUAUAGGUCCGAUAAUAUGGUUCGGAUGUUUCUACUAAGUUACCACAGUAAUAACUUAUCUAUGAUGGCG